CCCUUAGAUGUUCUGGGCCGCACGCGCGCUACACUGAUGCAUUCAACGAGCCUAGCCUUGACCGAGAGGUCCGGGUAAUCUUUGAAACUGCAUCGUGAUGGGGCUAGAUUAUUGCAAUUAUUAAUCUUCAACGAGGAAUGCCUAGUAAGCGUGAUUCAUCAAAUCGCGUUGAUUACGUCCCUGCCCUUUGUACACACCGCCCGUCGCUCCUACCGAUUGAGUGUGUUGGUGAGGAGUUUGGAUUGGCCUCGGAAGGUGGUUCGCCACCGUCCGUAGCUGAGAAGUUCUCCAAACCGCCCUACUUAGAGGAAGGAGAAGUCGUAACA
This 326-nucleotide ribosomal RNA is filed under the name uncultured eukaryote. RNAcentral describes it as "partial 18S ribosomal RNA". It matches the Rfam family "Eukaryotic small subunit ribosomal RNA", at positions 1470 to 1796 of the family's 1831-position model. The record is from RNAcentral.